UACGUAGGGUGCAAGCGUUGUCCGGAAUUAUUGGGCGUAAAGAGCUCGUAGGCGGUUUGUCGCGUCUGCUGUGAAAACCCGAGGCUCAACCUCGGGCCUGCAGUGGGUACGGGCAGACUAGAGUGCGGUAGGGGAGAUUGGAAUUCCUGGUGUAGCGGUGGAAUGCGCAGACAUCAGGAGGAACACCAAUGGCGAAGGCAGAUCUCUGGGCCGUAACUGACGCUGAGGAGCGAAAGCAUGGGGAGCGAACAGG
RNAcentral lists this ribosomal RNA (253 nucleotides) under uncultured bacterium. RNAcentral's name for it is "partial 16S ribosomal RNA". It matches the Rfam family "Bacterial small subunit ribosomal RNA", at positions 524 to 776 of the family's 1533-position model. The record is from RNAcentral.